GCACAGCUUCUUUCUCCUCAUUAGCAAUCUGCAGCAUAGCAAAGAUUUUAUCUUCAUCCAGCAAGCUACCUAGCCAUCUUACUAGUCUUUUUUCUUGUGACAUGAUAAUGAAGAAGAAAAAAAAAACUCUAGUUGUGGGAUCACACAACAAAUGAAUUGGUACGGUAGGUAGGAAAUUAAUUCAUUAAUCUGUUGUACCUUUUUUUCUUUCUUUUUUUCCUUUUUGAAGGUGGUAGGGACUUAAUUCAUUUGAGGACGGAUCAAUAGGCAACAUAUAAGUUUUUCUUUAUGUUUACUUUGCUUCUAUUUAAAGGUUCUUAGCUCAAAAUAUCUCUUUUUUUUUUUCCCUUGCUUUUAUGUUUGAAUUGUGAAGCACUUUCCAGACAAAUGUAUAUGCAUUAAUUUGAGAAAUAUUUCCAACUAGAAAAGGUGUGGACAGUGAUUUGAUUCUCCAAGACAACAUACCAAUUGUUGCAAAAAAAAAACAUGCUUGAAUAAACUUCUGAUUGCUACUAUUUUUUUCAUGCUAUGUUACCUAUAGGCUAUAGCUAGCUUUAAUGACCCUUCAACAAAAAAAAAUCUACAAAGACCCCCUCAAAAAAUAAAAUCUACUACAUCGAUAUUCCUAUUAAUUUAUGGUUUAUUCCCGACACUGUGACAUCAUUGUAGAAUUUUUUUAAGGGUCAUUAAAAUUAAAAUGGUUGUGUCCGUGAGUUUAACUCAGUUAAUAGAGAUAUUGCAUAAUAUAUCUAGAUGUUGGGGUUUGAAUUCCGAACAUUUCACUUAA
Molecule: long non-coding RNA, 787 nt
Filed under: Medicago truncatula (barrel medic)
Lineage: Eukaryota; Viridiplantae; Streptophyta; Magnoliopsida; Fabales; Fabaceae
Description: lncRNA gene27862
Source: RNAcentral